UACGUAGGGUGCGAGCGUUAAUCGGAAUUACUGGGCGUAAAGCGUGCGCAGGCGGUUAGCCGUGUCCGAUGUGAAAGCCCCGGGCUCAACCUGGGAAUGGCAUUGGAAACUGGCUGGCUGGAGUGUGGCAGAGGGGGGUGGAAUUCCACGUGUAGCAGUGAAAUGCGUAGAGAUGUGGAGGAACACCGAUGGCGAAGGCAGCCCCCUGGGCCAACACUGACGCUCAGGCACGAAAGCGUGGGAGCAAACAGG
Molecule: ribosomal RNA, 252 nt
Filed under: uncultured bacterium
Lineage: Bacteria
Description: partial 16S ribosomal RNA
Rfam family: Bacterial small subunit ribosomal RNA
Source: RNAcentral